Molecule: ribosomal RNA, 230 nt
Filed under: uncultured fungus
Lineage: Eukaryota; Fungi
Description: partial 18S ribosomal RNA
Rfam family: Eukaryotic small subunit ribosomal RNA
Source: RNAcentral
ACUAGGGAUCUGGUAACCUCAAUUAUGAUUUGUUGCUCGGCACCUUACGAGUAAUCAAAGUCUUUGGGUUCUGGGGGGAGUAUGGUCGCAAGUCUGAAACUUAAAGGAAUUGACGGAAGGGCACCACCAGGUGUGGAGCCUNCGGCUUAAUUUGACUCUACACGGGGAAACUCACCAGGUCCAGACAUAACUAGGAUUGACAGAUUGAUAGCUCUUUCAUGAUUUUAUGG